This 68-nucleotide transfer RNA is filed under the name Marmota monax (woodchuck). Its description in RNAcentral is "tRNA.Ala". The record is from RNAcentral. Lineage: Eukaryota; Metazoa; Chordata; Mammalia; Rodentia; Sciuridae.
GGAAAGUAGCUCAGUGGCAGGGUGCUUGCCGAGCAUGCAGGAGGCCCUGGGUUCCAUCCCCAGUACCA